AGUGAACGCUGGCGGUAGGCCUAACACAUGCAAGUCGAACGGCAGCACAGUAAGAGCUUGCUCUUACGGGUGGCGAGUGGCGGACGGGUGAGGAAUACAUCGGAAUCUACUUUUUCGUGGGGGAUAACGUAGGGAAACUUACGCUAAUACCGCAUACGACCUACGGGUGAAAGCAGGGGAUCUUCGGACCUUGCGCGAUUGAAUGAGCCGAUGUCGGAUUAGCUAGUUGGCGGGGUAAAGGCCCACCAAGGCGACGAUCCGUAGCUGGUCUGAGAGGAUGAUCAGCCACACUGGAAAUGAGACACGGGCCAGACUCCUACGGGAGGCAGCAGUGGGGAAUAUUGGACAAUGGGCGCAAGCCUGAUCCAGCCAUACCGCGUGGGUGAAGAAGGCCUUCGGGUUGUAAAGCCCUUUUGUUGGGAAAGAAAAGCAGCAGGUUAAUACCCCGCUGUUCUGACGGUACCCAAAGAAUAAGCACCGGCUAACUUCGU
This 491-nucleotide ribosomal RNA is filed under the name uncultured bacterium. RNAcentral's name for it is "partial 16S ribosomal RNA". It matches the Rfam family "Bacterial small subunit ribosomal RNA", at positions 29 to 506 of the family's 1533-position model. The record is from RNAcentral.